GAUGAACGCUGGCGGCGUGCCUAAUACAUGCAAGUCGAGCGAACAGACGAGGAGCUUGCUCCUCUGACGUUAGCGGCGGACGGGUGAGUAACACGUGGAUAACCUACCUAUAAGACUGGGAUAACUUCGGGAAACCGGAGCUAAUACCGGAUAAUAUAUUGAACCGCAUGGUUCAAUAGUGAAAGACGGUUUUGCUGUCACUUAUAGAUGGAUCCGCGCCGCAUUAGCUAGUUGGUAAGGUAACGGCUUACCAAGGCAACGAUGCGUAGCCGACCUGAGAGAGUGAUCGGCCACACUGGAACUGAAACACGGUCCAGACUCCUACGGGAGGCAGCAGUAGGGAAUCUUCCGCAAAGGGCGAAAGCUUGACGGAGCAACGCCGCGUGAGUGAUGAAGGUCUUCGGAUCGUAAAACUCUGUUAUUAGGGAAGAACAAAUGUGUAAGUAACUAUGCACGUCUUGACGGUACCUAAUCAGAAAGCCACGGCUAACUACGUG
RNAcentral lists this ribosomal RNA (497 nucleotides) under uncultured bacterium. RNAcentral's name for it is "partial 16S ribosomal RNA". It matches the Rfam family "Bacterial small subunit ribosomal RNA", at positions 28 to 507 of the family's 1533-position model. The record is from RNAcentral.